Molecule: ribosomal RNA, 426 nt
Filed under: Cryptomonas curvata
Lineage: Eukaryota; Cryptophyceae; Cryptomonadales; Cryptomonadaceae
Description: partial Bacterial large subunit ribosomal RNA
Rfam family: Bacterial large subunit ribosomal RNA
Source: RNAcentral
GCCCCGGUGAACGGCGGCCGUAACUAUAACGGUCCUAAGGUAGCGAAAUUCCUUGUCGGGUAAGUUCCGACCUGCACGAAUGGCGUAACGAUGGCCACACUGUCUCCUCCUGAGACUCAGCGAAGUUGAAAUGUUUGUGAUGAUGCAAUCUCCCCGCGGAAAGACGGAAAGACCCCAUGAACCUUUACUGUAGCUUUGUAUUGAAUUUUGAACAGAUCUGUGUAGGAUAGGUGGGAGGCUUUGAAGCAGGGUCGCUAGAUCUUGUGGAGCCAACGUUGAAAUACCACCCUGGUGUGUUUGAGGUUCUAACCUAGGUCCAUUAUCUGGAUCGGGGACAGUGCAUGGUAGGCAGUUUGACUGGGGCGGUCUCCUCCCAAAGUGUAACGGAGGAGUUCGAAGGUACGCUAGUUACGGUCGGACAUCGUG